Aegilops tauschii subsp. strangulata is the source of this 2083-nucleotide non-coding RNA. The record is from RefSeq and is a predicted model, not a curated record. NCBI's taxonomy places the organism in Eukaryota, Viridiplantae, Streptophyta, Magnoliopsida, Poales, Poaceae.
GCUGCCCUCGAUCGUCUUGCUACGAGGACGAGAACCAUGCCCCAGCCGCCAUAGUGGAGCCCUACGCCGCCGCCGAGAUCGGAGAGGAGCCGCCGCCGCCGAGGUUCGAGAGGAGCUGGCCACCACGACCUCCCUCCCCAGGCGGCCGCCACCACCCCCUCCCCAAGCAGCCAUGUACAGCAGGGCGGCGCCCACGCGCCUGGCCUAUGUAGGUCUCGGCCUCCCUCCUCCCUUCGUCCAAGGCCAGGAGCUCCCCCUCCCCGACCCGAUCUGGUGGAGAGAGGGCCAGGCCUUGCCACUCCGGUGGUCGCUGUGGCCAGAUCUGUCCGGGGUAGUCGCCGUAGAGCCUCUAUGGCGGCGGAGUAGCAGCAGCCCGACAGAAGGUGGGUGCCAGAUCGUCGUCCAGCAGCUCGCCGUCGGAGCUUCUCACUACAGGCGAUGGAGGCCGGUGCUACUCGGUCUAUCUAUGAUGUUUGUUUCCUGUGUUUACAUGGCAGAGUGAUUGCUGCACUGGCUUUUGGCUAUGGAUGCAAGUUGGGAACUCAUUCCGUGAUUUGAGGGUGCAGGUAGGGAUGAUGCUGCGGAUGGGAUGGGAAGAUGUGUGUGUGUGCUAGCUGCUUCACAUACGACUCAGAGAAAGAAUUGCUUUGCAGUUUCAGGUUGCCAACAUCACGAAUUUCAUACUUAUGGAGUGGAGCCACCAAACAAUUUAUGAGGAAAUAUGUUGAAGCACCGAAUGUAUUCCAUUUGCAAUUUCCGCCAUGGACGCCGCCUCGCUCAUGGGCUCCUCCUCCGCCGACGCGCGCACCGACGGGGAGCACCGGAUGGGCAUCACCAUCAUGGGCGUCUGCUACGACGGCGGCGUCCUCGCCGCUGACACUCAGGACCAGCACCGAGAGGUUCCACGACUUCAGUUUGGCUAUCAUCAAAAUUGGAGGAGAGCCCGAUGCAUUGGAGAGCAUCAUCCGCGAGUUCCAUAGGAUCGAAUUGAGGAGGCAUUAUAACCUGGCAUCAUUUGGAUGACUUUGUCAGUAGGAAGAAUGGCUAACAUGCCUGUUAAAGCUAGAUAAACGCGUAUUGAAGGAACUGGGGUAUGUCCGCCAUGUUGAACACCCUCACAAUGACGGGUACCAUACAAUGUUAGCGAGGACAGUGAUUGGGGGAUUGAUAUUUUCGAAGUAAUGAGGUGCUUGGAGGAGGCACGCGUCGCAGGUUUGACUGUUUGGGCUAUGGUGAUCAUAAACCCCGGAUAACCGACGGAACAGGUACUUUCUGUGACCAACCAGGAGGAGAUAGUAGAAUUUUGUCGAAAAGAAGGUUUGGUUAUGCUUGCCGAUGAAGUUUGCACUUGGUGAACUGCGGUAGUUUUGUGACGCGGACGCGUGUGUAGACAUCCUACAUUUGUAUAAAUGCGUUUACAGGUAUACCAAGACAAGCUCUAUAUGGAGGACAUGAAGUUCAAUUCUUUCAGGAAAGUUGCCAGAUCACUUGGGUAUGAUGAGAAUGGUAUAUCCAUAGUGUCAUUUCAUUGGGGGGGUACUCUGGAGUAUGUGGCAGAAGGGGAAGCUACAUGUUGAUAUGUAAAAUUCCCUUCACGACUCGUUUAGGAAUAACAGAGUUUUGGAGAUGAUGUGAUGGGUGAGAUUCGCAAGGUGGCUUCUGUGACUCUUUGCCCCAACAUAAAUGGUGACUUGCGAUGGAUCCACCGAAGUAUAGAUCUGCGAUUGACAUUUUUAUUGGACCACUGGGUGAGCAUUUGCAACAAAGAGCCAGGGAGUAAGCUGGGAGCGGACAAACAUAAUGCCCUGAACAUGAGUUUGUCCUUGCAUAAUUAUCCAUGUCUGAUGGUAGGAAGAGACAGGAUCAGAUCGCUCACCAGUGAUGAAGACGUGGUAGUACCGUAGUAGGGUGUGGUAGAUGAACAUGUCUUUAUUUUCUGAAUCGCUUAAUAUUAUAUGAUAUUGUACUGACAAGUAGGAGGUGAUUGCUGAUGGGUGAUUCUAGAUUCUUGAGUGAAUACUAGCUACCAUGUUAUCCUAAGUGCUGUCAACUAUUCAAUUACAAAUAAAAACUCAAGAACGUA